RNAcentral lists this ribosomal RNA (459 nucleotides) under uncultured bacterium. RNAcentral describes it as "bacterial SSU rRNA". It matches the Rfam family "Bacterial small subunit ribosomal RNA", at positions 340 to 786 of the family's 1533-position model. The record is from RNAcentral.
UACGGAAGGCAGCAGUGGGGAAUAUUGCACAAUGGGCGAAAGCCUGAUGCAGCUAUGCCGCGUGUAUGAAGAAGGCCUUAGGGUUGUAAAGUACUUUCAUCGGGGAGGAAAAACAAAACUAAUAAUUUUAUUUCUUGACGUUACCCGAAAAAGAAGCACCGGCUAACUCCGUGCCAGCAGCCGCGGUAAUACGGAGGGUGCUAGCGUUAAUCAGAAUUACUGGGCGUAAAGAGCACGUAGGUGGUUUUUUUAAAGUCAGAUGUGAAAUUCCCUGGGCUUAACCUUAGGAACUGCAUUUUGAAACUGAAAUACUAGAGUAUCGUAGAGGGAGGUAGAAUUCUAGGUGUAGCGGUGAAAUGCGUAGAUAUCUGGAGGAAUACCUGUGGCGAAAGCGGCCUCCUAAACGAAUACUGACACUGAGGGUGCGAAAGCGUGGGGAGCAAACAGGGAUUAGAUACC